RNAcentral lists this ribosomal RNA (468 nucleotides) under uncultured bacterium. Its description in RNAcentral is "partial 16S ribosomal RNA". It matches the Rfam family "Bacterial small subunit ribosomal RNA", at positions 28 to 507 of the family's 1533-position model. The record is from RNAcentral.
GACGAACGCUGGCGGCGUGCUUAACACAUGCAAGUCGAACGGAAAGGCCCUGCUUUUGUGGGGUGCUCGAGUGGCGAACGGGUGAGUAACACGUGAGUAACCUGCCCUUGACUUUGGGAUAACUUCAGGAAACUGGGGCUAAUACCGGAUAGGAGCUCCUGCUGCAUGGUGGGGGUUGGAAAGUUUCGGCGGUGUGGGAUGGACUCGCGGCUUAUCAGCUUGUUGGUGGGGUAGGGGCUUACAAAGCCUUUGACGGGUAGCCGGCCUGAGAGGGUGAACGGCCUCAAUGGGACUGCGAUACGGCCCAGACUCCUACGGGAGGCAGCAGUGGGAAAUAUUACACAGUGGGCGGAAGCCAGAUGCAGCGACGCCGCGUGCGGGAUGACGGCCUUCGGGUUGUAAACCGCUUUCGCCUGUGACGAAGCGUGAGUGACGGUAAUGGGUAAAGAAGCACCGGCUAACUACGUG